AACCAACGCUAGAUGGCGCUGUUGUUCCUCGAUAAUGGCUGACUGCUUGUAAGAAGUGAAUUCGGUUUUUCCAAUGUUUCUUCAAUUUGUUAUUUUUUAAAGGAUUUUUCAUCUGGAAAUUAACGAUUGCCUUUUGUAUCACACAAGGUUUCCCUUGUUAUCAGCUAUUCAGGCUGCUGAUACAGAAAAUAGUGAGCUACCCUGUGUUUCUGUUUUCUAUGAUGCCGUUUACCACUGAAUGUGUCUCAACUGAUUUUAACCUCCGAUUUUACCAAAUGGGAUGAUUUAUUUUACUGAAAUUAUGCCCAUAUCAAAUCAUAAUCAUAAAUGCACAAGGUGGGAUGAUUUUGAAGAAAGAACAGCAAUGACCAAGAUUCCUUAAAAGUAUACACCACCAUCUGAUUUGAAGUCUUCAUUUAUUUCACACUGCCAUCCGUCAACCAUUGUAAUUCCAUUGAUCCAGUCUUCAACAGCUUCUCGACUAAGGCAACAAUCAACCAGCAGUAUUUCAAUCGUUCAGUCAUUACCACCUCUCAAAACUUUGAAAUUUUCGUUAUUGGAUUGGAUCCUGUCUCCACCGUAUGCAGUCAUAACCUUUCUCACGCAUAUACUUGAAUUUCAUCGCCUAAUGGAGAUUUCAAAUUGUUCACCAUCAUCUCUGACGAAAAAUCGCCGUCUAAUGCAAGUCAUCAAGUCAUGCCUCCUUACCUAAUUUACCACGUAACGCCCACUCCGACUGGUAGAUAACAUCAUGGAAGGUUCCUGAUCCC
RNAcentral lists this long non-coding RNA (770 nucleotides) under Daphnia magna. Its description in RNAcentral is "uncharacterized LOC116915548, transcript variant X2". Lineage: Eukaryota; Metazoa; Arthropoda; Branchiopoda; Diplostraca; Daphniidae. The record is from RNAcentral.